AGAUUGCAAUGAUUGGCUGACUUUGGACUUGAAAGCUACGUCUGAUUCAUUCUUGGAUGGGAGAUCUUCAGAGUUUUAAGAUAGCUGUGAAAAUUCUAUAAAAUCCCAGAGGAAGGCAGGGUUAUUGGACAUAUAAAAUAUAAUGGAGAAUAAACUCCCUUGGUGUUUGAACGAAGACAGUGAUUGCCAUCAAUAUUUUAAGAAAUAAACACAGAUCCAUCCAGCUGUGCUUUUGGCUACCA
Molecule: long non-coding RNA, 242 nt
Organism: Pantherophis guttatus
Lineage: Eukaryota; Metazoa; Chordata; Lepidosauria; Squamata; Colubridae
Source: RefSeq, a predicted model, not a curated record